Long non-coding RNA from Equus asinus (donkey), 2277 nucleotides. Lineage: Eukaryota; Metazoa; Chordata; Mammalia; Perissodactyla; Equidae. The record is from Ensembl.
CAAAGCAUGUCAGGAAGUCAAACCUGUAGUAUAUGAAGAUGAGAACAGUUUCCCACUACGGAAAUCAAAGCAGCCAAGAGAGGAUAAAUACAAAAGUAGUGGUUAGAAUGAAAAUGUCUGAAGAGAGCGAUGACAUGCUUGAAGAUGCCAGUCAUUUUAACUUUGUGAGAUGAGAGACAUCAUUGCCUAGUAAUCUAGGAAGUCACCCAGGAACUCAGUAUUGAGGAAGCUUUGGCUAUAAGUAUACUUAUAAACAAAGACACCUACAGACUCAGAGCAAUAGCUACAAAGAAGAUCCACCAAGUCUGGAGCCUUUGACAGUGCAGUUAUUUCAGACACCAUUGGCUAUGCUGCGGGAUCAGCAUCAGCCUGACCUGAUUUUUGUGAAGAGUCCUAAGAAUCUAAAAUGCUUGCUUCUGGGAAAAGGAAUUCGAAUAGGACCUGAACCACGAUGUGACGAUGUGACGACUAGACCUUCCCUUCCCACCAAUGGGGACAGUGGAACACAGACUUCUCCGUGAACAGAGACUUGGAAAAUUCCUUACAAAAUCUGAAAAAACAAAGGAUAAAUAAGUUUAGAAAACAUGUCCCCGUGUUUCCAGGUAUACAAUGUUUAACAUCUGCAAAGGCUGAAGAUUUGCAUUCCUGCCAUUUAUUUUGUGCAUCAUUCUAAUUACAUGAGCAAAUUCUUCUGGAACAGCCUUGACUAAUAAGGUAGGCUGCAAAGGAAUCCAGGACUUGGUCCAUGUAAUGACGGAUAUGUCUGUCAACAAAAUGCCUUGACAAGAUUUCUUAAAUGAGUCUCCCCAAGCACAUUAUUCACACUUGAUCCGCACCCAGAAGCAAGACUUCUAAAGUUUUACCAGCAACAGGGAAACAAAUGCACAACCAGUCAGAAGCCAAGAAUUUGGACAAAUCACAUUAGAAAUUGUCAUUAAUUUCAGUUUCACAGAUUCUUUAAUCCAUUUAGAUUAGGAGAAGAAAGAUGUUUAAGGCAGAAAUCUCCCACAACAGAUGACUUAAACAUUCCUUUUGCGAACAUCACCGAACAGGGGAAAACGCAAGUCUAAAUCAAGUGCCUCUUACGACAAGGUCCUGUGCUCGUCAGCACGGCUCUAAGCAGACACAAGACUGGCAUCCCUGGGAAGAGACAGUCGUAAUCCCAUGAAGUCUUUUUUAUAAGCAGACAUCAACAGUCCUAUUCUAAGGUGGAGUAGUAUUAAACAAGAUAAACAGAGAAAACAUUUUAUUUCAAAGCACAUUUUAUCCAAGGAUUCCACAUGUGGGAAGAGUUUUACCUGUCAUUCCAAAGAAAAAAAGCCCAAGAAGUUAAGUGACUUUCCUUGUUGACUGUGCAACGUAACAAUUAGUUCAUUAGAGAGUAGGUUAAGUCAUUGGGUUUUAGAUCUAUAGCAUUACUGUUAAGCCAUAUUUGAUGGGAGGUGAGAAGGAAGAAAAGGUACAUAUAAAUUUGUAAUAAUGAAAUAAUCAAUUUUUAUAACAUGAUAUAUAAAACAGACUUUUUUUCUUUUGAGGAAGAUUAGCUCUGAGCUAACAUCUGCUGCCAAUCCUCCUCUUUUUGCUGAGGAAGACUGGCCCUGAGCUAACAUCUGUGCCCAUCUUACUCUACUUUAUAUGUGGGAUGCCUGCCACAGCAUGGCUUGACAAGUGGUGUGUAGGUCUGCGCACAGGAUCCGAACCAGGAACCCUGGGCAGCCAAAGAGGAGUAUGUGAACCUAACCUCUACACCACCGGGCUGGCCCCUAAAACGGAUUAUUUUUGACCUCUCUGCUAUAGUUCAUAUUUUUACAGGUUUUAUAAUAUAACUUCUUGUAGGCCGCCAAAUAUCCUUUGUAGAAAGAGCUGAAAUAAAAGUUAACACCCAGAAUUAUUUUCAACUCCUCAUUAAAAUUGUGACAUUGACAGAAAAUAAUAACUAGACAUUCAUGCUCAGGAUGUCCUAUGCACUUUAAAUGCUGUGGUUUACUUUUUAAUAUUUUCAAAUUUUUAUUCUUGACGAUCAUGAACCUUAGUAGUAAUCAUGAAUAAUAAAAACAAGCUUAGUAAAAUUUGCCAGUAGGAAGAAAAUUAUAAAUUAAUAGCAUGCUAUUAUAGGCCAAAUUAAAUCAGACUUUCUAGGAAAAAGAAUUGAAAGUAUCACUUUUAAGCAAAAUGCUAAUAGGUCUAAAGAACUUUCCAGAAUAAUAUUACAUAAUAGUUAAUUGGUUGUUUUUGUCAUUUACAUUUCCUUUUGAAACCUCUUACUCCUACUGAUAU